AUACUUUGCCAUGUUGAAAACACGCAUUCUCGUCCGAUCACCGAAGUUAAGCGCAUCGCCGGGCCCGGUCAGUACUUGGGAGGGUGGCCACCUGGGAACACUGGGUGUUGUAAACU
This is a non-coding RNA of Cordylochernes scorpioides, 116 nucleotides long. Lineage: Eukaryota; Metazoa; Arthropoda; Arachnida; Pseudoscorpiones; Chernetidae. The record is from the annotation of a GenBank genome assembly.